This 73-nucleotide transfer RNA is filed under the name Ovis aries (sheep). It matches the Rfam family "tRNA". Rfam says of the family: Transfer RNA (tRNA) molecules are approximately 80 nucleotides in length. Their secondary structure includes four short double-helical elements and three loops (D, anti-codon, and T loops). Lineage: Eukaryota; Metazoa; Chordata; Mammalia; Artiodactyla; Bovidae. The record is from Rfam by way of RNAcentral.
UCCCUGAUUGUCCAGUGGUUAAGACCCUGCGUUCCCACUGCAGGGGGCAUGGAUUCGAUCCCUGGUCAGGGAA